ACGGCUCAGUAACACGUGGGUAACCUGCCUUACACAGGGGGAUAGCCUUCCGAAAGGAAGAUUAAUACCGCAUAAGAAGUAGAUAUCGCAUGGUAUCAGCUUUAAAGGAGUAAUCCGGUGUAAGAUGGACCCGCGGCGCAUUAGCUAGUUGGUGAGGUAAUGGCUCACCAAGGCGACGAUGCGUAGCCGACCUGAGAGGGUGAUCGGCCACAUUGGAACUGAGAGACGGUCCAGACUCCUACGGGAGGCAGCAGUGGGGAAUAUUGCACAAUGGAGGAAACUCUGAUGCAGCAACGCCGCGUGAGUGACGAAGGCCUUCGGGUUGUAAAGCUCUGUCAUCUGGGACGAUAAUGACGGUACCAGAGGAGGAAGCCACGGCUAACUACGUGCCAGCAGCCGCGGUAAUACGUAGGUGGCGAGCGUUGUCCGGAAUUACUGGGCGUAAAGGAUGCGUAGGUGGGAAUUUAAGUCAGAUGUGAAAUACCCGAGCUUAACUUGGGCACUGCAUUUGAAACUGAAUUUCUUGAGUGCAGGAGAGGAAAGCGGAAUUCCUAGUGUAGCGGUGAAAUGCGUAGAGAUUAGGAAGAACACCAGUGGCGAAGGCGGCUUUCUGGACUGUAACUGACACUGAGGCAUGAAAGCGUGGGGAGCAAACAGGAUUAGAUACCCUGGUAGUCCACGCUGUAAACGAUGGGUACUAGGUGUGGGAGGUAUCGACUCCUUCCGUGCCGCAGUUAACACAAUAAGUACCCCGCCUGGGGAGUACGAUCGCAAGAUUAAAACUCAAAGGAAUUGGCGGGGGAGCAC
This 807-nucleotide ribosomal RNA is filed under the name uncultured bacterium. Its description in RNAcentral is "bacterial SSU rRNA". It matches the Rfam family "Bacterial small subunit ribosomal RNA", at positions 102 to 924 of the family's 1533-position model. The record is from RNAcentral.